Lucilia cuprina (Australian sheep blowfly) is the source of this 697-nucleotide long non-coding RNA. RefSeq lists it as uncharacterized. The record is from RefSeq and is a predicted model, not a curated record. The transcript is spliced from 3 exons. NCBI's taxonomy places the organism in Eukaryota, Metazoa, Arthropoda, Insecta, Diptera, Calliphoridae.
UGAUAAUAAUCUAACUUAAUCUUAACUUAAUUUAAAUUUUUAACUUAAUUUCAAUUUAAUUAUUUUAAUUUUAUCUAAAAUUAAACUUAAUCAUAACUUAAAUUAACUUAAAAUUGUAAUAACACUUAUACACUAACACUUUAUACACCCUACACAACAUAUACAUUAACAUAUAUACAUAAAUACACUCAAAACCUAUAAAAGAAAUGAGAAUUUAAAAAUCUAAAUUUCAAAAUAAACCUAAAUUCAGCAUCACAUCAGGCCUGUUGUCAUCGUUGGAUUAUGUUUGACUUUUGUAUAAAUGGAAGAAUUUUUGAAAAAACAAUGAUGAGACAAAAACGAUGGUUUGCUACUUUACAUCAGGGGCACAACAAUUCAAAAUACAUUGUUACCGAAUUUUAACCUAACAGAUCUUUAAAUCUAUUGCACAUGGGCAAAAUUUAAUUUAUUGUCCAUCGGAACAAAAAAUAAAUAAUAAAUAUAUUGCCAAUGGACUCUAUUGUUGAGGAUGAUGGACUUCCAAAGAUGCCAACAAAAUCCAGUAUUUAUUUCAAGAAUCCGCUUCGCUAGGGCCAAAUGUUUGGCAUCAACCCAAUUUGUAAAAUAUUGUGUAUAAAAAUAAAACAAAAUAAACAGUUUCAAAUUUUUAUGAGACGUAGAUCUGUUUGUAGUUUUUUUAGAUGAAAGAUAACGUGCA